GACGAACGUUGGCGGCGUGCUUAACACAUGCAAGUCGAACGGAAAGGCCCUGCUUUUGUGGGGUGCUCGAGUGGCGAACGGGUGAGUAACACGUGAGUAACCUGCCCUUGACUUUGGGAUAACUUCAGGAAACUGGGGCUAAUACCGGAUAGGAGCUCCUGCUGCAUGGUGGGGGUUGGAAAGUUUCGGCGGUUGGGGAUGGACUCGCGGCUUAUCAGCUUGUUGGUGGGGUAGUGGCUUACCAAGGCUUUGACGGGUAGCCGGCCUGAGAGGGUGACCGGCCACAUUGGGACUGAGAUACGGCCCAGACUCCUACGGGAGGCGGCAGUGGGGAAUAUUGCACAAUGGGCGGAAGCCUGAUGCAGCAACGCCGCGUGCGGGAUGACGGCCUUCGGGUUGUAAACCGCUUUCGCCUGUGACGAAGCGUGAGUGACGGUAAUGGGUAAAGAAGCACCGGCUAACUACGUGCCAGCAGCCGCGGUGAUACGUAGGGUGCGAGCGUUGUCCGGAUUUAUUGGGCGUAAAGGGCUCGUAGGUGGUUGAUCGCGUCGGAAGUGUAAUCUUGGGGCUUAACCCUGAGCGUGCUUUCGAUACGGGUUGACUUGAGGAAGGUAGGGGAGAAUGGAAUUCCUGGUGGAGCGGUGGAAUGCGCAGAUAUCAGGAGGAACACCAGUGGCGAAGGCGGUUCUCUGGGCCUUUCCUGACGCUGAGGAGCGAAAGCGUGGGGAGCGAACAGGCUUAGAUACCCUGGUAGUCCACGCUGUAAACGGUGGGUACUAGGUGUGGGGUCCAUUCCACGGGUUCCGUGCCGUAGCUAACGCUUUAAGUACCCCGCCUGGGGAGUACGGCCGCAAGGCUAAAACUCAAAGGAAUUGACGGGGCCCCGCACAAGCGGCGGAGCAUGCGGAUUAAUUCGAUGCAACGCGUAGAACCUUACCUGGGUUUGACAUGGAUCGGGAGUGCUCAGAGAUGGGUGUGCCUCUUUUGGGGUCGGUUCACAGGUGGUGCAUGCCUGUCGUCAGCUCGUGUCGUGAGAUGUUGGGUUAAGUCCCGCAACGAGCGCAACCCUUGUUCACUGUUGCCAGCACGUUAUGGUGGGGACUCAGUGGAGACCGCCGGGGUCAACUCGGAGGAAGGUGGGGAUGACGUCAAGUCAUCAUGCCCCUUAUGUCCAGGGCUUCACGCAUGCUACAAUGGCUGGUACAGAGAGUGGCGAGCCUGUGAGGGUGAGCGAAUCUCGGAAAGCCGGUCUCAGUUCGGAUUGGGGUCUGCAACUCGACCUCAUGAAGUCGGAGUUGCUAGUAAUCGCAGAUCAGCAACGCUGCGGUGAAUACGUUCCCGGG
This 1343-nucleotide ribosomal RNA is filed under the name uncultured bacterium. RNAcentral's name for it is "16S ribosomal RNA". It matches the Rfam family "Bacterial small subunit ribosomal RNA", at positions 28 to 1378 of the family's 1533-position model. The record is from RNAcentral.